Molecule: ribosomal RNA, 737 nt
Filed under: Microbacterium sp. D3
Lineage: Bacteria; Bacillati; Actinomycetota; Actinomycetes; Micrococcales; Microbacteriaceae
Description: bacterial SSU rRNA
Rfam family: Bacterial small subunit ribosomal RNA
Source: RNAcentral
ACUCUGGGAUAAGCGCUGGAAACGGCGUCUAAUACUGGAUAUGUGACGUGACCGCAUGGUCUGCGUCUGGAAAGAAUUUCGGUUGGGGAUGGGCUCGCGGCCUAUCAGCUUGUUGGUGAGGUAAUGGCUCACCAAGGCGUCGACGGGUAGCCGGCCUGAGAGGGUGACCGGCCACACUGGGACUGAGACACGGCCCAGACUCCUACGGGAGGCAGCAGUGGGGAAUAUUGCACAAUGGGCGCAAGCCUGAUGCAGCAACGCCGCGUGAGGGACGACGGCCUUCGGGUUGUAAACCUCUUUUAGCAGGGAAGAAGCGAAAGUGACGGUACCUGCAGAAAAAGCGCCGGCUAACUACGUGCCAGCAGCCGCGGUAAUACGUAGGGCGCAAGCGUUAUCCGGAAUUAUUGGGCGUAAAGAGCUCGUAGGCGGUUUGUCGCGUCUGCUGUGAAAUCCGGAGGCUCAACCUCCGGCCUGCAGUGGGUACGGGCAGACUAGAGUGCGGUAGGGGAGAUUGGAAUUCCUGGUGUAGCGGUGGAAUGCGCAGAUAUCAGGAGGAACACCGAUGGCGAAGGCAGAUCUCUGGGCCGUAACUGACGCUGAGGAGCGAAAGGGUGGGGAGCAAACAGGCUUAGAUACCCUGGUAGUCCACCCCGUAAACGUUGGGAACUAGUUGUGGGGUCCAUUCCACGGAUUCCGUGACGCAGCUAACGCAUUAAGUUCCCCGCCUGGGGGAGUAC